Molecule: microRNA precursor, 105 nt
Filed under: Marmota monax (woodchuck)
Lineage: Eukaryota; Metazoa; Chordata; Mammalia; Rodentia; Sciuridae
Source: RNAcentral
UCAUAUGCCUGUGAGUGACCUUGUUCAACAUGCAGACUCUGAUUCACUGGCCUGGACCAGGGACUGAGAUCCUGCAUUUCUAACAGGUUCCCAGAAGUUGUCACU